Molecule: ribosomal RNA, 253 nt
Filed under: uncultured bacterium
Lineage: Bacteria
Description: partial 16S ribosomal RNA
Rfam family: Bacterial small subunit ribosomal RNA
Source: RNAcentral
UACGAAGGGUGCAAGCGUUACUCGGAAUUACUGGGCGUAAAGGGUGCGUAGGUGGUUUGUUAAGUCUGCUGUGAAAUCCCCGGGCUCAACCUGGGAAUGGCAGUGGAUACUGGCAAGCUAGAGUGCGGCAGAGGAGACUGGAAUUCCUGGUGUAGCAGUGAAAUGCGUAGAUAUCAGGAGGAACACCGAUGGCGAAGGCAGGUCUCUGGGCUGACACUGACGCUCAUGCACGAAAGCGUGGGGAGCAAACAGG